Molecule: long non-coding RNA, 1089 nt
Filed under: Coturnix japonica (Japanese quail)
Lineage: Eukaryota; Metazoa; Chordata; Aves; Galliformes; Phasianidae
Description: lncRNA (ENSCJPG00005019465.1)
Source: RNAcentral
CAAAAACACAACAACUUCUCCAAUCAUAAAAUACCGCUCCUUCCAUAUUGAUUGUGCUUUGGCAACUAGAUGCAGUGCUAGGCUUCACUCUGCAAGGUGUUUAAAAAGAAAAACAGGUUUACCCGGGAUUUAUCAUGUAUGGAAAAAUGUAAUAGCUAAGUAGGCUGUCUGCUAAUGUCUGGCAUAAUGUUUCUUCAUAAUGGUUAACCCUUUUGCAGGGAGUGGAAUAAGAGUGCCUCUCUCUCUAGAUGGGAACUUUGCUCCAUGGGACAUUACAAUCCAUGUGGCUAACGGCCUGACAUAUGGUGUGCGAAGCAGCUUGAGAUGGCACCUUAGGCGUGCCCUGCGGCCAUUACCAUAUUAGAGGCCCCCGCGCGCUCAGCCGGCGCUCAGCGCGCCGCAGCCCGACCCGGAGCUGUCCGUGGUGCUGAAGCGGGGCGGAUCUGAGCUGUCGAUGGUGCUGAAACGACUUGCCUGUAGCUGUCCGUGGUGCUGAAGCGGGGAGACCUUCAGCCUCGCCGCCCGAGCACGCCGUCUCCACUGUCCCUCCCCAAGAACUACACACUCGGAAGUCUUUUCCUGCUGGAGACUGUAUGCCUUAAGGCAGAAAAAAAAGCAUAAAGGUAGCUGGAAAAGUAAAUUGCCAGAAGCGAAGAGCACCCUCGCUUUCAAAAUCCUGUGGAUGGGGGUUCUGCACGGGGCAUUUCUGUAAGAAAUUAGCGGUACCGAGACACAGGUUCGAAAGAGAGCCGUGCACGACGAUAGUCACUGCUUCCUCGAGCAGAAAUCUCUCUGAAGCCCAGCACAGCAGCCUCGAGCACGCAGUUCGCUUUCAGACAGACACAGCUUUCGCCUCCUCUCCCAUCUCUCCUCUAUUUUCCCCCUCUCCUCUCUCUCUGCUCCUCGUAGAGCAGCGCUUUAAUAAAGUCACAUAAGUGAUUGAAAUUAACAUAAAUCAUUAUUAGUUAUUAGGAUUUGCUCUAAAUUACUCCGUGAAUAUAACACCAAACCCCAUCUGCCACUCCUGCUCUAGCGGCAAUAGAUUGCAGAUAAAAUAAAUGUCCUUACCCCAUUAGAAUGUUCCUGUCU